AUUGAACGCUGGCGGCAUGCUUUACACAUGCAAGUCGAACGCGAAAGGGGGCAACCCUGAGUAGAGUGGCGCACGGGUGAGUAAUACAUCGGAACGUGUCCUGUAAUGGGGGAUAAUGCAGCGAAAGCUGUGCUAAUACCGCAUACGUCCUACGGGAGAAAGCGGGGGACCGCAAGACCUCGCGUUAUAGGAGCGGCCGAUGCCGGAUUAGCUAGUUGGUGGGGUAAAGGCCUACCAAGGCAACGAUCCGUAGCUGGUCUGAGAGGAUGAUCAGCCACACUGGGACUGAGACACGGCCCAGACUCCUACGGGAGGCAGCAGUGGGGAAUUUUGGACAAUGGGCGCAAGCCUGAUCCAGCCAUGCCGCGUGAGUGAAGAAGGCCUCGGUUGUAAG
Molecule: ribosomal RNA, 394 nt
Filed under: uncultured bacterium
Lineage: Bacteria
Description: bacterial SSU rRNA
Rfam family: Bacterial small subunit ribosomal RNA
Source: RNAcentral